Molecule: ribosomal RNA, 81 nt
Organism: Cricetulus griseus (Chinese hamster)
Lineage: Eukaryota; Metazoa; Chordata; Mammalia; Rodentia; Cricetidae
Source: Ensembl
GUCUAUAGCUAUACCACCCCAGAAGUUCCUGCUCACAUCUGAGCUCUGAUGCUAAGCAGGGUCAGCCUUGGAGGGGAGACG